GUUCUUGUAGUUGAAGUACAGCAGUAGUUUUUCGGAUUAUUGGUUCAGGUUAGAGUCCUGGCAGGAAUA
RNAcentral lists this transfer RNA (69 nucleotides) under Anilany helenae. RNAcentral describes it as "tRNA-Glu". It matches the Rfam family "tRNA". From Rfam's summary of the family: Transfer RNA (tRNA) molecules are approximately 80 nucleotides in length. Lineage: Eukaryota; Metazoa; Chordata; Amphibia; Anura; Microhylidae. The record is from RNAcentral.